This 376-nucleotide ribosomal RNA is filed under the name uncultured eukaryote. RNAcentral's name for it is "partial 18S ribosomal RNA". It matches the Rfam family "Eukaryotic small subunit ribosomal RNA", at positions 592 to 976 of the family's 1831-position model. The record is from RNAcentral.
CAAGAGCGUAUAUUAAAGUUGCUGCGGUUAAAAAGCUCGUAGUUGGAUUUCAGUCUAGGAAGGUUAACUCGCCGAAAGGUUGUACGUUGAUUUUCCUCAGACUUCGUCAGAAGCUCGUGCUGCACUUAACUGUGUGGUACGAUGUUCUGACCUUUUACCUUGAGGAAAGUAGAGUGUUUCAGGCAGGCUACCCAGCUUGAAUACAUUAGCAUGGAAUAAUGAAAUGGAUCUCGGUUCGAUUUCGUUGGUUCUAGAGCUGAGGUGAUGAUCAAUAGGAACAGGCGAAGGUAUUCGUACUUGAGAGUGAGGAGUGAAAUCCGAUGAUCUCUUAAAGACGAUCCGAGGCGAGGGCAUUUGUCAAGGAUGUUUUCAUUGA